GUGGGGAAUUUUGGACAAUGGGCGAAAGCCUGAUCCAGCCAUGCCGCGUGCAGGAUGAAGGCCUUCGGGUUGUAAACUGCUUUUGUACGGAACGAAAAGACUCCUUCUAAUAAAGGGGGUCCAUGACGGUACCGUAAGAAUAAGCACCGGCUAACUACGUGCCAGCAGCCGCGGUAAUACGUAGGGUGCAAGCGUUAAUCGGAAUUACUGGGCGUAAAACGUGCGCAGGCGGUUAUAUAAGACAGAUGUGAAAUCCCCGGGCGCAACCUGGGAACUGCAUUUGUGACUGUAUAGCUAGAGUACGGUAGAGGGGGAUGGAAUUCCGCGUGUAGCAGUGAAAUGCGUAGAUAUGCGGAGGAACACCGAUGGCGAAGGCAAUCCCCUGGACCUGUACUGACGCUCAUGCACGAAAGCGUGGGGAGCAAACAGGAUUAGAUACCCUUGUAGUCC
RNAcentral lists this ribosomal RNA (450 nucleotides) under uncultured bacterium. RNAcentral describes it as "partial 16S ribosomal RNA". It matches the Rfam family "Bacterial small subunit ribosomal RNA", at positions 354 to 796 of the family's 1533-position model. The record is from RNAcentral.